CCUGACUGCAGCACGGGUCCUGCCAUGGCCCCUCAGCAUUUUGCUGAGCACAGCGAGUUACCUGGCAUGAUCGCGGGCAGACGCUUGUUUCCACAAGCCCUUGAAGCACAAGUGUGAGUGUGUCUGUAAAGAAAGUCAAGUUUGCAAGGAGAGGACUGGGCCUUUUGGUUUGGAGUCCUUGAGGUGUUAAAGUAAAAGAAGGGCUGCAUUUACAAGAGCACUGGAGAAGAGGAACGCCCCUUACAGGCAGUGGUUGGAAACCUUGUGCAGGAGGUGGAAGACUUGAUCCUGAAUUUUCAGAUCCAGUGGUCCCAUGCAGGAAUGAUUGAUUUUUUUUGCUUCGUCACCUGAAACAGGGGAUAGAGAUUUGUAUCAUCUUCAAGCAUGUUUGCGAGGUACCAUGUACAUUUUUUCUGCUGGUGCUGUUAAGGCCCCCUGACUUCAUUAAUGAAACUGCUGGAGAAAGCAUGGAAAGUUCAGUGGCAUUGGGCUCCCCCCAUUAAUGAACCAUACAGUGGCAGUGCAUAUUAUCCAGUGAUUGAUGGUGAAAGGGAUCACAGAUGCUUCUUCAAUUAAUCUGGAAUGUUGAGCAUUUUCUGACAGCACUUCUACAGCUGCUCCAACUAU
Non-coding RNA from Phalacrocorax carbo (great cormorant), 627 nucleotides. Lineage: Eukaryota; Metazoa; Chordata; Aves; Suliformes; Phalacrocoracidae. The record is from RefSeq and is a predicted model, not a curated record.